Molecule: long non-coding RNA, 358 nt
Organism: Physella acuta
Lineage: Eukaryota; Metazoa; Mollusca; Gastropoda; Physidae
Source: RefSeq, a predicted model, not a curated record
CAAAAAACAUGGCGGCUAUUUGUUAGUAGAUCUAGGUCCCGCUUCAAGAUUUCAAAAUCAUCAAACGUUCCAGAAAUGCAACAAUUGUAAAAACUUUCAACGCUGUUUUGUUCAUAUGGAUGGGAACAAACACAUGUGUAUGCAUUUUUUAAUAUAAAAGUUUUGUGGCUGUACUUGGCAAGCAAUUUUCUCACACUUUACUGUGGCUAUUGGUGCUGAUCUUGAACUAAAGGUAAAUGGAACAGCAUGGAUGUGGAUUUUUAGACACAAGGAAGCUGAAUUUAACUUUUAAUGAAGAAUUUAAAUGAUAAUUGUCCAUGAAAACUAAUAUUAAUCAUAUACAUUGUAAUGCUGUAUU